UAAAUGGUGAUUUCGUUCGUCCUCAUCUGUUUAUCUAUGUUUUAAUUUUGUUUUCAAUCGUUUGUAGUAUGAAUUUGCACUGUCUGUCGAUGAACUUUGAUACUUUUGUCCGGCGAAGAACUACCCCCACCCCCACGCUGAAAUGACGGAUGAUGCAUACGCACGCCGCAACAGUGAUGACAAGAUAUUGUUAUGCUGAGGAUCACGGGACCAUGCAGCUCGUAACGACUAAUCCACGGUUGGGUGUAUGUGUUGGCAUUUUCCGCGACAUAUUCCCACCGUCGGCCAAUCAAACAAAGCUGUCAAGCGAUGCCCCAUGCCUUGUGCCGAUUUGACCCGCGUCUUGGCUUAAUUUGCGUGUGGAAGAUUGGCAUGCAGCGUGGGGUGGGGGUAGUCCUUAGCUCGUAACUGAAUGCGUCACAGUGCUUUGGCUACGUUCAUGAUUGAUCGGUCCCUCUGUUUCUGGUCUGCAGGGACUCCAGCAUGGGAACUAAUGUAGUGCUGGGCUACUAGCCUAGCAGCUGCCCUGGAAGUAACAGUGUGUGUACCUCAUUCGCUGGCUACCUCAUAUUAGCUCUGAAGUGGCGAUUUGGUGCUCGGGCUCACAUGAGCCCGAAAUCUGCGCCACUCGUAGUCUUGGGAUCGGAAAAAAUCGGUCUGUUUUUUUGCGGGGGAUUUAGAUAGCUUUAUUGAAUAAAAGCAUUCGCUGGACAGUCAGCCAAGAGGCUGCUGAUCAGGAAGCUGGGAGUGGAGUCUAGCCAGCUCUCGGUCAUGUGGUGUCAGGGUGCGACCAGCGUUAAACAUAUAUACGGAGGAGAUACGAGCGUGAUUCCUAGCUUGCAGUGGGCCCGUUUCGUAGGGCGCGGGGAUUGCCGUGACGGGGAGGCCCUGAGCCACGGCUCGAUGCGUGAACGAUGUGCUGGGCCACGGAACAGGUUUGAGGCCCUGUGGUGUCAGAGAUGUUUUCCCCUUGCAGGUUUGUAGAGGGCGGCGGCUGGUUCCGGCAACUUCUGGAUGGAGACGAAUGGGCCGGAGUUCCUCCUGGAUCUGUUUGACCGGUUUUCCUUGAGAGAGGAGUACGCCGACAACCUCGAGCAUCCAGAUCCGGUACCUCUUGAUCUGCUAGGUGUCGGCCCGGGAGCGCCGGAGGAACCGAACUGCGGGUUAGGGUGUGCGCAGGAUGUUGGUGGCGGCAGCCCAGCAAGGGACGGAGGAGAGCACCGUCGACGCAGUCAGCGUAGUCCACGGGGAAGGUCAACCCUGAGGCGCCUAGAUGGGCAAAGAGGCUCGGGCUGGGAAUCGCACCUCCGGACAGGACUCUGUGCGUGUCUUGAAUGAUCGCACUGGAAGAGUCUAUCAGGAAAUUUGCGGAAGAGCCGUCGAAGAGUGUGCUUAAUCCGGAGGGAAUCAGCUUGGACACGCUGGGAGAGGCAUGCGACUUCUACAAUUUGUAUUCAUGUGAGGUUGGUUUUGGAGUACGAUACAACAAAAGCAGAGUGAAGCCGAACGGACAAAAUCAAUGUAGGAGAUCGUGUGUGCGGCUGCUCGGUGAGUUACAUCUGCACCAGCUCAGUUACAUCUGAGUAUGAGGCAUAAAGCACGUGCAAGGAACACAUCAGUUGAGCAAAUGACUAUCCAUAACGAUGGCCAUACAGGUAAUUCAUCAUGUAUUGUAACAUGAACCCCUGCGGCGUGGGUAUGAUGGUGUGAACCAUAGAUUUGAAGUUUGUGUGAUCGGGCCUAUAAAGACUUGGUUUUAUGGCAUGUAGUUGGGUCAUCACUUGUUCGAUUUGAGCAUGUUCGUGUCUGUUUUACUGCUA
This is a long non-coding RNA of Aegilops tauschii subsp. strangulata, 1820 nucleotides long. RefSeq lists it as uncharacterized. NCBI's taxonomy places the organism in Eukaryota, Viridiplantae, Streptophyta, Magnoliopsida, Poales, Poaceae. The record is from RefSeq and is a predicted model, not a curated record.